RNAcentral lists this ribosomal RNA (1531 nucleotides) under uncultured bacterium. Its description in RNAcentral is "bacterial SSU rRNA". It matches the Rfam family "Bacterial small subunit ribosomal RNA". The record is from RNAcentral.
AGAGUUUGAUCCUGGCUCAGGACGAACGCUGGCGGCGUGCUUAAUACAUGCAAGUCGAGCGAGGUUACUGUUUUGGAUCCCUUCGGGGUGAAGAAGCUUUAACCUAGCGGCGGACGGGUGAGUAACGCGUGGGUAACCUACCCCAAAGUCCGGGAUAACAGCGGGAAACCGCUGCUAAUACCGGAUGCCUUUACCUUGGGGCAUCUUGAGGUAAAGAAAGGUAACGCUUUGGGAUGGGCCCGCGUCCCAUUAGCUAGUUGGUGAGGUAACGGCUCACCAAGGCGACGAUGGGUAGCCGGCCUGAGAGGGUGGACGGCCACACUGGGACUGAGACACGGCCCAGACUCCUACGGGAGGCAGCAGUAGGGAAUAUUGCGCAAUGGACGGAAGUCUGACGCAGCGACGCCGCGUGAGCGAUGAAGGUCUUCGGAUCGUAAAGCUCUGUCCUUGGGGAAGAAGGCAAAAGCUUGACGGUACCCAAGAAGAAAGCCCCGGCUAACUACGUGCCAGCAGCCGCGGUAAUACGUAGGGGGCGAGCGUUGUCCGGAAUUACUGGGCGUAAAGGGUGCGUAGGCGGCCCUUUAAGUCGGAUGUGAAAGCCCGCGGCUUAACCGCGGAAUGGCAUUCGAAACUGGAGGGCUUGAGUGUCGGAGAGGGUAGUGGAAUUCCCAGUGUAGCGGUGAAAUGCGUAGAUAUUGGGAGGAACACCAGUGGCGAAGGCGACUACCUGGACGAUAACUGACGCUGAGGCACGAAAGCUAGGGGAGCAAACAGGAUUAGAUACCCUGGUAGUCCUAGCCGUAAACGAUGGGUACUAGGUGUGGGUGGUUUCGAUACCAUCCGUGCCGUAGUUAACGCAUUAAGUACCCCGCCUGGGGAGUACGUGCGCAAGCAUGAAACUCAAAGGAAAUGACGGGGGCCCGCACAAGCGGUGGAGCAUGUGGUUUAAUUCGAAGCAACGCGAAGAACCUUACCAGGUCUUGACAUCACCUAGCAAGCCAUGGAAACAUGGCCCUCCUUCGGGACUGGGUGACAGGUGGUGCAUGGUUGUCGUCAGCUCGUGUCGUGAGAUGUUGGGUUAAGUCCCGCAACGAGCGCAACCCUUGCCUUUAGUUGCCAGCAUUAAGUUGGGGACUCUAAAGGGACUGCCGGCGACAAGUCGGAGGAAGGUGGGGAUGACGUCAAAUCAUCAUGCCCCUUAUGAUCUGGGCUACACACGUGCUACAAUGGGUGGUACAGAGGGAAGCGAAGCUGUGAGGCGGAGCGAAUCCCAGAAAGCCACUCUCAGUUCGGAUUGCAGGCUGCAACUCGCCUGCAUGAAGUCGGAAUCGCUAGUAAUCGCGGGUCAGCAUACCGCGGUGAAUACGUUCCCGGGCCAUGUACACACCGCCCGUCACACCACGAAAGUUCGCAACACCCGAAGCCGGUGGCCUAACCCGUAAGGGAGGGAGCCGUCGAAGGUGGGGCGGAUGAUUGGGGUGAAGUCGUAACAAGGUAGCCGUAUCGGAAGGUGCGGCUGGAUCACCUCCUU